UUUAGAGUUUGAUCCAUGGCUCAGGACGAACGCUGGCGGCGUGCUUAACACAUGCAAGUCGAACGAGGAACGGGUGCUUGCACCUGUAUCCGAGUGGCGGACGGGUGAGUAACACGUGACCAAUCUGGCUCCGAGCGGGGGACAACCCGGGGAAACUUGGGCUAAUACCGCAUACUGCUUCCUGGUCGCAUGGCCGGGAAGUGAAAGCAGGCCUCUGUUUACAGGCUUGUGCUCGGAGGGGAGGUCGCGGCGUAUCAGCUUGUUGGUGAGGUAACGGCUCACCAAGGCUACGACGCGUAGCGGGUCUGAGAGGACGACCCGUCACAUUGGGACUGAGAUACGGCCCAGACUCCUACGGGAGGCAGCAGUGGGGAAUAUUGCGCAAUGGUCGAAAGACUGACGCAGCGACGCCGCGUGUGGGAUGAAGCCUUUCGGGGUGUAAACCACUGUCAGGAGGGAAGAACCCCGUACGUUCGAAUAGGGCGUACGACUGACGUACCUCCAGAGGAGCGCCGCA
This 517-nucleotide ribosomal RNA is filed under the name uncultured bacterium. RNAcentral's name for it is "bacterial SSU rRNA". It matches the Rfam family "Bacterial small subunit ribosomal RNA", at positions 1 to 497 of the family's 1533-position model. The record is from RNAcentral.